This 253-nucleotide ribosomal RNA is filed under the name uncultured bacterium. Its description in RNAcentral is "partial 16S ribosomal RNA". It matches the Rfam family "Bacterial small subunit ribosomal RNA", at positions 524 to 776 of the family's 1533-position model. The record is from RNAcentral.
UACGUAGGGGGCAAGCGUUGUCCGGAAUCACUGGGCGUAAAGCGCACGUAGGCGGCUUGUUAAGUCGGGGGUGAAAUCCUGGAGCUCAACUCCAGAACUGCCUUCGAUACUGGCGAUCUUGAGUCCGGGAGAGGUGAGUGGAACUCCGAGUGUAGAGGUGAAAUUCGUAGAUAUUCGGAAGAACACCAGUGGCGAAGGCGGCUCACUGGCCCGGUACUGACGCUGAGGUGCGAAAGCGUGGGGAGCAAACAGG